RNAcentral lists this ribosomal RNA (431 nucleotides) under uncultured bacterium. Its description in RNAcentral is "bacterial SSU rRNA". It matches the Rfam family "Bacterial small subunit ribosomal RNA", at positions 354 to 777 of the family's 1533-position model. The record is from RNAcentral.
GUGGGGAAUCUUCCGCAAUGGGCGCAAGCCUGACGGAGCAAUGCCGCGUGAGUGAAGAAGGCCUUCGGGUUGUAAAACUCUGUCCUCAUCCAAGAGAAGGAAAGGUAGUAACUGGCCUUUCCAGGACGGUAGAUGAGGAGGAAGCCCCGGCUAACUAUGUGCCAGCAGCCGCGGUAAAACAUAGGGGGCAAGCGUUGUCCGGAAUCACUGGGCGUAAAGGGCGCGCAGGCGGUCUGUUAAGUCAGAUGUGAAAGGUUAGGGCUCAACCCUGAACGUGCAUCUGAUACUGGCAGACUUGAGUAUGGAAGAGGUAAGUGGAAUUCCUAGUGUAGCGGUGAAAUGCGUAGAUAUUAGGAGGAACACCAGUGGCGAAGGCGACUUACUGGGCCAUAACUGACGCUGAGGCGCGAAAGCGUGGGGAGCAAACAGGA